CGUGGUGCAAAACAAAUGACAGCACACUGUAGUAGCACAGAGAGGUGAAGCAGGUUUCUUGGUGAAUAUACUACUGCUUUUGGAUAUGUACGGAGAACUGGGCAUUUUCUUGAAAUUUCCCAGCAAAACAAGUACGUCAUGUCCUUUUCAUUAUUUUCUCCCUCAAAAACAAAGGAUAUGUCAUGAGCCGGUAGUUUGAACUCUGAGUUGAUGAGCGGAAACAGCAGGAAAUGCAUUCCAGGCAUCUUAGUUUGAAGUGUUUACCAUGGCCUGAUACAGCGUCACAUAUGUCCUUCUCCGAUGCCAACAUCAGCCAAAGGUAGGGCCAAAAACAAGAACACAAGGGAGUGGCAUGUAUAUUUCAUUUAUCUGCACUGCAAAAAUGAAAAGGUUCUUUCACUACGAACACCCCUUAUUCAAUGGAGUAGGUGGAGGAGAGGAAUCUGACGGCACAGAGGCUGCGUCUCCUAACGACACACAUGGAUUCCUGAGCCGUAAACACACACAAAAAAAGGGCUGUGAUCAACAAGUGUGGUCCGGCUGCCAGAACACGACUGCAGUGUGCUAAAAACUAUUCUGGAAAAACCUGCGGCUUUAAAGGAGAGCGGAGUAGAAAAGGGUGGUGUCACGCAAUGAGGGAUGUGUUUAUGGGUUUUGGGACUGUAUGUAUGUUUUAGUGAUUAUUGCAAUGCAAGAGUUGUGUCAAGGAACGUAAUCAAAGCAGCAGACAGCCAGAGGAGACAUUUCUGAGGACUGAGGGGUGGCUCCGCUCCUCCGCUCCAAAUCGAGGCUCAUAACCUCACCGCUCUCCUCCAUAAAGGCCCCUGUGUGGUUUCCGUCCUUUUGUCCUAAUCCAAGCCAGAGAUGUGAUUCAUGAAAAGCCCGAGUGUUUCAUUUCAAAGGAGCUACGUAAUAAAAAUGGUAAC
Pleuronectes platessa (European plaice) is the source of this 926-nucleotide long non-coding RNA. RefSeq lists it as uncharacterized. The transcript has 3 exons. The record is from RefSeq and is a predicted model, not a curated record. Lineage: Eukaryota; Metazoa; Chordata; Actinopteri; Pleuronectiformes; Pleuronectidae.